UGGCCCGUAGCUCAACGGUGAGAGCGCUGGCCUUAUAAGCCAGUGAUGCAGGUUCGAUUCCUGCCGGGCCUACCA
Molecule: transfer RNA, 75 nt
Filed under: Armatimonadota bacterium
Lineage: Bacteria; Bacillati; Armatimonadota
Description: Armatimonadetes bacterium (hot springs metagenome) tRNA-Ile
Rfam family: tRNA
About the family: Transfer RNA (tRNA) molecules are approximately 80 nucleotides in length.
Source: RNAcentral